Molecule: ribosomal RNA, 686 nt
Filed under: uncultured bacterium
Lineage: Bacteria
Description: bacterial SSU rRNA
Rfam family: Bacterial small subunit ribosomal RNA
Source: RNAcentral
AGAGUUUGAUCCUGGCUCAGAAUCAACGCUGGCGGCGUGCCUAACACAUGCAAGUCGAACGCGAAAGCCCCGGCAAGGGGUAAGUAGAGUGGCAAACGGGUGAGUAACACGUGGGUGACCUGCCUUAGAGUGGGGGAUAACGUCCCGAAAGGGACGCUAAUACCGCAUAACAUCCUGCCUUUGAAGAGGUGGAGAUCAAAGCCGGGGACCGCAAGGCCUGGCGCUUAAAGAGGGGCCCGCGCCUGAUUAGCUAGUUGGUGAGGUAAUGGCUCACCAAGGCAACGAUCAGUAUCCGGCCUGAGAGGGCGGACGGACACACUGGGACUAAGACACGGCCCAGACUCCUACGGGAGGCAGCAGUGGGGAAUUGUUCGCAAUGGGCGCAAGCCUGACGACGCAACGCCGCGUGGAGGAUGAAGACCUUCGGGUCGUAAACUCCUUUCGAUCGAGACGAACAGCCAUCGGGUGAAUAAUCCGGAGGUUUGACGGUACCGAGAGAAGAAGCCCCGGCUAACUCCGUGCCAGCAGCCGCGGUAAUACGGGGGGGGCAAGCGUUGUUCGGAAUUACUGGGCGUAAGGGCUCGUANGUUGCCAACUAAGUCAGACGUGAAAUCCCUCGGCUUNACCGGGGAACUGCGUCUGAUACUGGAUGGCUUGAGUUCGGGAGAGGGAUGCGGAAUUCCAGG